RNAcentral lists this transfer RNA (67 nucleotides) under Ips subelongatus (larch engraver beetle). RNAcentral describes it as "tRNA-Ser". Lineage: Eukaryota; Metazoa; Arthropoda; Insecta; Coleoptera; Curculionidae. The record is from RNAcentral.
GAAUUAAGGUAUCCAGAAAGAAGCUUCUAACUUCAUCUCUAAGCAGUGAAACUCUGUUUUUAAUUCU